This 482-nucleotide ribosomal RNA is filed under the name uncultured bacterium. RNAcentral's name for it is "partial 16S ribosomal RNA". It matches the Rfam family "Bacterial small subunit ribosomal RNA", at positions 30 to 507 of the family's 1533-position model. The record is from RNAcentral.
AUUGAACGCUGGCGGCAUGCUUUACACAUGCAACUCGAACGGUAACAGGCCGCAAGGUGCUGACGAGUGGCGAACGGGUGAGUAAUGCAUCGGAACGUGCCCAGUCGUGGGGGAUAACUACUCGAAAGAGUAGCUAAUACCGCAUACGAUCUAUGGAUGAAAGCGGGGGACCGGAAGGCCUAGUGUGGUUGGAGCGGCCGAUGUCAGAUUAGGUAGUUGGUGGGGUAAAGGCUCACCAAGCCAACGAUCUGUAGCUGGUCUGAGAGGACGACCAGCCACACUGGGACUGAGACACGGCCCAGACUCCUACGGGAGGCAGCAGUGGGGAAUUUUGGACAAUGGGCGCAAGCCUGAUCCAGCAAUGCCGCGUGCGGGAAGAAGGCCUUCGGGUUGUAAACUGCUUUUGUACGGAACGAAACGGCUCUGGUUAAUACCCGGGGCUAAUGACGGUACCGUAAGAAUAAGCACCGGCUAACUACGUG